RNAcentral lists this ribosomal RNA (253 nucleotides) under uncultured bacterium. RNAcentral describes it as "partial 16S ribosomal RNA". It matches the Rfam family "Bacterial small subunit ribosomal RNA", at positions 524 to 776 of the family's 1533-position model. The record is from RNAcentral.
UACAGAGGGUGCGAGCGUUAAUCGGAAUUACUGGGCGUAAAGCGUACGUAGGCGGUUAUUUAAGUCGGAUGUGAAAUCCCCGGGCUCAACCUGGGAAUUGCAUUCGAUACUGGAUAGCUAGAGUUCGGCAGAGGGAAGCGGAAUUUCCGGUGUAGCGGUGAAAUGCGUAGAUAUCGGAAGGAACAUCAGUGGCGAAAGCGGCUUCCUGGACCAGAACUGACGCUCAGGUACGAAAGCGUGGGGAGCAAACAGG